Molecule: ribosomal RNA, 164 nt
Filed under: uncultured freshwater alveolate
Lineage: Eukaryota
Description: 5.8S ribosomal RNA
Rfam family: 5.8S ribosomal RNA (bases 16-161)
About the family: 5.8S ribosomal RNA (5.8S rRNA) is a component of the large subunit of the eukaryotic ribosome. It is transcribed by RNA polymerase I as part of the 45S precursor that also contains 18S and 28S rRNA. Functionally, it is thought that 5.8S rRNA may be involved in ribosome translocation.
Source: RNAcentral
GGUUGAUAAAAUCUAAAUUUUCAACGAUGGAUGUCUAGGUUCCCACAACGAUGAAGAACGCAGCGAAAAUGCGAUAUGCAGUGUGAAUUGCAGAACCACGAAUCAUCGGAUCUUUGAACGUAAAUAGCGCCGGCACAACCGGCAUGUUUGGUUCAGUGUGCACA